Molecule: long non-coding RNA, 797 nt
Organism: Gymnodraco acuticeps
Lineage: Eukaryota; Metazoa; Chordata; Actinopteri; Perciformes; Bathydraconidae
Exons: 5
Source: RefSeq, a predicted model, not a curated record
GGCUGACAGUGGCUGACCUCCGUCUUCGCUAAACAAAUAUGUUUUAUAACUCUCUAAAACGUGUUAACGUUCUCAUUGGACACAUUACGUGCCAGUGAUCAUCACCAAUCAAUCUCACAGAUUUCGGGGAGGACCCCCCCCUUCUCCAGCAAUAGAUUGAUCUGAUUGGUAGAUUCAAAUGUGCGUUUCCGCCUCUGUCUGUUGAUGAUGGCGCUUGUCAAAGAGAAAUCAUUCAUCAGGUGCUUUGAAACAGAACAUUAAAAAGAAACGAGAGGAAGAUACAGCACGAGAGAGGAGCAUUGUUGAAAUUCAUAGGUCGAACUAAGCCUGCAGAACCACAAGUCAAGAGGACAGAGGAGCCAGAUAGCAGUGGUGACUGAGGCAGAACAAAUAAGGAGAGAGGGCCCAUGCAGAGAAGCAGACAUCAUUAGUGAGGAAUCAGACCCAAAAGACACGAGGACAGAGGAGCCAGAUCGCAGUGGCGACUACAACUCCUGCCGAUGCCGAGGCCGAGUUCUCCCUUCCCACCACCCCAGGCUCAUUGUGCUAGCCACCUCCCUUGUGUGUGUUUUCCCUUCCCCUGUCUGUGUGGGCGUGGUGGCUGUCACUCCUGGCUCCCGGCUCAACCUCCACCUGCUGCAAUCAGUUGGGCACCCUCCUCUGCUACACACCUGAUUUCCAUCAGCCAUUACUAAUGGCAUAUCAGCGGAGGCUCCACAACCUGUCAGCGCCAGAUCGUUGUUUAAACCCCAGUGGAUUACUCUCCAGCCGGAUUACUCUCCACGCUCCUCCACCUC